GCCGGAGUGGCCGAGCGGUUAAAGGCGCUACAGUCUGGAACACUAGGUCGCAGGUUCGAAUCCUGCCUCGGGCA
This 74-nucleotide transfer RNA is filed under the name Schistocerca americana (American grasshopper). Its description in RNAcentral is "tRNA-Ser". It matches the Rfam family "tRNA". From Rfam's summary of the family: Transfer RNA (tRNA) molecules are approximately 80 nucleotides in length. The record is from RNAcentral. Lineage: Eukaryota; Metazoa; Arthropoda; Insecta; Orthoptera; Acrididae. RNAcentral also lists the same sequence under 1 other name.